GAUGAACGCUGGCGGCGUGCCUAACACAUGCAAGUCGAACGAACAGAUAAGGAUUUCUCCUCUUUGACGUUACCGGCGGGCGGGUAAGUCAUACGUGUCUAACCUACCUAUAAGACUGGGAUCACUUCGGGAAACCUGAGAUAACACCGGAUCAGAUAUUGAACCGCAUGGUUCUUUAGUGAUCGGCGUCUCUGCUGACCCUAAUACAUGGUACCGAGCCGUAUUAGCUAGUUGGUACGGUAACGGCCUACCAAGGCGACGAUACGUAGCUGACCUGAGAGGGUGAUCAGCCACACUGGAACUGAGACACGGUCCAGACUCCUACGGGAGGCAGCAGUAGGGAAUCUUCCGCAAUGGGCGAAAGCCUGACGCAGCAACGCCGCGUGAGUGAUGAAGGUCUUCGGAUCGUAAAGCUCUGUUAUCUGGGAAGAACGAAUGUGUAAGUAACUGUGCAUAUCUUGACGGUACCUGAUCAGAAAGCCACGGCUAACUUCGUG
RNAcentral lists this ribosomal RNA (497 nucleotides) under uncultured bacterium. RNAcentral's name for it is "partial 16S ribosomal RNA". It matches the Rfam family "Bacterial small subunit ribosomal RNA", at positions 28 to 507 of the family's 1533-position model. The record is from RNAcentral.